RNAcentral lists this ribosomal RNA (468 nucleotides) under uncultured bacterium. RNAcentral's name for it is "partial 16S ribosomal RNA". It matches the Rfam family "Bacterial small subunit ribosomal RNA", at positions 28 to 507 of the family's 1533-position model. The record is from RNAcentral.
GACGAACGCUGGCGGCGUGCUUAACACAUGCAAGUCGAACGGAAAGGCCCUGCUUUUGUGGGGUGCUCGAGUGGCGAACGGGUGAGUAACACGUGAGUAACCUGCCCUUGACUUUGGGAUAACUUCAGGAAACUGGGGCUAAUACCGGAUAGGAGCUCCUGCUGCAUGGUGGGGGUUGGAAAGUUUCGGCGGGUGGGGAUGGACUCGCGGCUUAUCAGUUUGUUGGUGGGGUAGUGGCUUACCAAGGCUUUGAAGGGUAGCCGGCCUGAGAGGGUGACCGGCCACAUUGGGACUGAGAUACGGCCCAGACUCCUACGGGAGGCAGCAGUGGGGAAUAUUGCACAAUGGGCGGAAGCCUGAUGCAGCAACGCCGCGUGCGGGAUGACGGCCUUCGGGUUGUAAACCGCUUUCGCCUGUGACGAAGCGUGAGUGACGGUAAUGGGUAAAGAAGCACCGGCUAACUACGUG